AGUACGGUCUUUCUUCGUCUGAGAAGGAGAGGUUAUGGUCCACAAACUGAAAGAAGUAUUCCAGGUCUGUUUGUGGUGGAGAGGGUUGGAGGAGGAUGACUCCACUUGGGACUUACUGGGCCCUCCUUCCUGGCCAGGGAGGUAAAACAGACACAGGUUAGGCUGCAGAGCUGUAAGCCCUAAGCCGACUGGCAGGCGCCGUAAAAGAGAGCAGCGGGUUCAGUCGGUUGUGGGGUGGGCAGAGGGUAGAGAAAGGGGCCAGUCACACUCAGCUGCAGCCCUCGCGGCCUCGCGGGCCUGUGGUUGCCAGGACUUAAAUCUCCCAAGAGUCGUUACAAUCCUGACUUUUAUGUGAAAGCUCUCAUCUUGUAUUGGCAAGUAAAUCCAAGACAGUUUCAAUCACUGUGGGAGUCAAGCUAAUUAUGUCUGCAGGCUGGAUUUGGUCUGUAAGCUGCCAGUGUGCCAUCUCUGGAUUAGUCACUGAAGAGUCAGGGAAGGUGAUGAACCAGCACCAGCCACCCCAGAUGGAGUCACGAUGUGGCGGUAGUGAGAGAAGCAGGUGAGGGAACUGCGCCAGGUGUGGACGGGAAAGGCCUGACGUUCCUUCCCCAGGCUGCCCUGGGGAGAUGGCGGAGGCGGGGGUGCUGCUCCAGUGCUGUCUGCUGGAGGGAGGUGUUCCCUUCCGUGCAGGGCAGAGGCAACCUACACCCGGCUGGCUCUGGGUUUCCUUGUGAGUGAUCCUGUCCGUGGCAUUAGUACCACCUAGUGGACUUCGCAGGAAGAACUGCAUGUUGAAACCAUGCGGACAGUCAUUUACCAGAGCGGCGGCGGUGAGCGCAGCAGAAGGGCCAGGGUCCUCCGAGCGAAUCAGCAUGAAAGAAACCAUAAUAAUGAGUAAACUCAAAGCUUGA
RNAcentral lists this long non-coding RNA (911 nucleotides) under Homo sapiens (human). RNAcentral describes it as "non-protein coding lnc-FGF23-5:2". Lineage: Eukaryota; Metazoa; Chordata; Mammalia; Primates; Hominidae. The record is from RNAcentral.